ACGUCCUCGUCGUCGUUGUCGUCGUCGUCGUCGUCGUCGUCGUCAACGUCGUUAACGUCGUUGUCUUCGUUGUUGUCGAAUCGUGGUUUGUUCGAAGGUAAAACGAGCAAGGGUUUCCAUACGAGAGCAUGGACUGCUGUUGUUGCUGCUGCCGCUUCUGCAGACACGCAUACCGCAACAUUGCCGCAUAAUUUUUGUUUCGAGCAAGAGAGAGAGAGAUAGAGAAAGAGAGAGAGAAAGAGAAGAGAUAAAGAGAGCGAAAAGAGGAGAGAAAAAGAAAGGAGAGAGAUUUCAUCGUUAGGCUUCGUCGAAAAAACGUGAGCUGAAUCUACCCAAAGCUGCAGCGACCUUUCAUUCUUUUUCAUCUUCAUCUUUAUUUCCUUUAUCUCGUAGCUUGCCUUUCCUAUAGAUAACACAGAGAAAAAAGAGAGAGAGAGAGAUCAAGGACAAUUUCAUGUAGACUUCCUGUGAUUAUUCUCAUCAUUUUUAAUCCUUCUUAUAAUUAUUCUUUGUCAUUAUCGUUGUCGUCGUCGUUGUGAAAAAAGUGACAGAUAGGAAGAUUAAAGAGAAAUUGGAUGAGAUAAUGUAAAAGAAAGAGGUGUUAGAGAAGAUUAUUCUAACUGUUCCAGUACGAAGAUAUACAUAUAUCAUAGUAUACGAACGACACAGGAAAUAAUAGUUGAUAUCGUUCGGAUUUGGCGAUCGGGUGACGAAAGUGAUCUGCAACGCAGGACAGUGGCGCCCCUUUAUUGGACCGCCAGCUACGACAACGAACAUCGCAGACCUCGUGGCGGCGUUGGAUCGGAGCAUCCGCAAAGUAGCGACAGCGAUGACUCCACCGCGACGCACAGCCAAAAUCAGGGUC
Molecule: unclassified non-coding RNA, 865 nt
Filed under: Polistes fuscatus (common paper wasp)
Lineage: Eukaryota; Metazoa; Arthropoda; Insecta; Hymenoptera; Vespidae
Description: gRAM domain-containing protein 2B-like, transcript variant X2
Source: RNAcentral